UAAAAGUUAAGAUUUAAUUAAAUUUAGAUUUAAUUAACUAGUAACUGAGCAAUAGCAUUCAGGAAGGAUACAUCUAAGAUUGUUACAUUCGCUGAGGCGAAUUGAAGAUGG
Molecule: long non-coding RNA, 111 nt
Organism: Sinocyclocheilus anshuiensis
Lineage: Eukaryota; Metazoa; Chordata; Actinopteri; Cypriniformes; Cyprinidae
Exons: 3
Source: RefSeq, a predicted model, not a curated record